AAUAAACCAAUUUUUCACUUUUUAUCUAUAAUUUUUGACUCUUUGUCUUAUUUAAUUUUUUUGCGAUUGAUAUUUUUGUUUUUAUUAGAUGAUAAAUUAUGAAUAAUAUUUUACAUGUGACUAAUUUUCUUUUAAUUUUCUAAAAUUUUUUCAAAUAAGACGGAUAGUCAAUCGUUCGAUAUGGAAACCGGAG
This 193-nucleotide microRNA precursor is filed under the name Oryza brachyantha (malo sina). RNAcentral describes it as "MIR812 microRNA precursor family". It matches the Rfam family "MIR812 microRNA precursor family". The record is from Rfam by way of RNAcentral. Lineage: Eukaryota; Viridiplantae; Streptophyta; Magnoliopsida; Poales; Poaceae.